Hyaena hyaena (striped hyena) is the source of this 104-nucleotide long non-coding RNA. RefSeq lists it as uncharacterized. NCBI's taxonomy places the organism in Eukaryota, Metazoa, Chordata, Mammalia, Carnivora, Hyaenidae. The record is from RefSeq and is a predicted model, not a curated record. The transcript has 2 exons.
AACAUGAGUCUUGCAGAAGUUCCUGCCGGAACUAGAAGCAUGAGAGCAGUUUUAAAGGGACCAAGGAGACAGAUCUGAUUUCUUUGCAGGUAUUGAAAAUACUU